UACGAAGGGGGCUAGCGUUGUUCGGAAUUACUGGGCGUAAAGCGCACGUAGGCGGACAUUUAAGUCAGGGGUGAAAUCCCAGAGCUCAACUCUGGAACUGCCUUUGAUACUGGGUGUCUUGAGUAUGGAAGAGGUGAGUGGAAUUCCGAGUGUAGAGGUGAAAUUCGUAGAUAUUCGGAGGAACACCAGUGGCGAAGGCGGCUCACUGGUCCAUUACUGACGCUGAGGUGCGAAAGCAUGGGGAGCGAACAGG
This 253-nucleotide ribosomal RNA is filed under the name uncultured bacterium. Its description in RNAcentral is "partial 16S ribosomal RNA". It matches the Rfam family "Bacterial small subunit ribosomal RNA", at positions 524 to 776 of the family's 1533-position model. The record is from RNAcentral.